Cygnus olor (mute swan) is the source of this 1737-nucleotide long non-coding RNA. RefSeq lists it as uncharacterized. Lineage: Eukaryota; Metazoa; Chordata; Aves; Anseriformes; Anatidae. The transcript has 7 exons. The record is from RefSeq and is a predicted model, not a curated record.
CGUUGUGCCUAACUGCUGCUGUUUGCCAAACCAUUCUGCAGGCUCCAUCGGCUGCCUCGGUGUCCUGUUGUAAGGAAACUGGGGGAGUUUGAAGAAUGCCAUGACUAGGGGUGAUCACUGCUCAGAGAGGUCAGAAGUAUUUUGCGAUGUUUUGAAUUCCAUACAACUGUACCAGGGGGGGCGAAGUUUUUUGAUUCUGUUUUGUCUACUGAAUGGGAAGUGGACCAUUAGCAGAGCACAGGGACCUCCACCUCUGGCCUACCCAUCGCUUCCAACAGCAGUUGCCAAAAGCUGCAGUCACCUAACCCCCAAAUAUAGUCCUAUAUGAAGUACCCGUGAGUGCAUGUCUGCACUGUGAAAUCCCCAAGGGUGGACAGCACUCAGGGCUGUCAUCAUCAAUCAGUCCUUUAGGACUUCUUCAGGUCUGCUUACCAUCAAAUGUAGCAUUGUGGUGGUGACAUGGACUUGUUACAGCUAGAAGUAAAGAAUGCAGAAAAUAAUGGAUUUUGACCAUAAAGCUUGAAAUUCUCACAGGUUUAGUGUUUUGAGUAAGGCGAUGAUCCAAAGUCUAUAAAGGCAGAAGAAAAACAGCCUUUGGCUUCAGUGGGCAUUGCGUCAGGCCUUCACAUGACUAGCUAUCAGCAGACUUCAUUCUGUGUAACUCUGUAUGAAAGAAGUGUUAGUUCUCUGGCAUACAGUCAGCCGAGGAGGAAUAAGAUGCUCUGUGUGUUUGCAACUUACCCUUCUGGUGAGCAGACAUCCUCAGCACUGAAAGCAACAGAGAUGUUCCCUCACAGCUGGUGGAAAGGCACCUAGCUCUGCUUUGCAACUGUUCCUUCUCGCUAAGUCAUCACAAGAGAGAGAAUUAGCCGAGACUUCGUUGUUGCAUACCCAAAUCUGAAUGCUGGGUUAUAUUUAAACAAGCACAGGAAAGAGUUGAGAGACUUCAUGACCCUGGUGAACUGGGGAUCAGUUGUUCUAAACUGGAAGGCAAAUGUCAGAAGAUCAGAUUACAAGUGUCUACCAGCAUGUUUUCACUGUACGGUGGGUCAGCUGGAGUUCAGGCCCUGCAAAUACUGAGGAGGUGGUUCCAGAGCAGUAAGCACUUGAGCAAUUGCUAGCACCGGUGGUCUGAACUUGGGCAGGAUUUCAUAACGUCUGCAAGCCAAAAGCUUCCUCGACUGCUAAUUUAAUAAAGAAGAGUGAACCACUGGGCUUCGUACAACUGACAGCUUAUUAUCUCGCCUUAUGAAAAUCAUGCCUGACUUCUGGGAGCUGUCUAUCAAAAGGAGAGAAUACACUGAGAAGCUGGUACUUUCUGUCUAAUUAUCUGGUUUGAUCAUUGUUCAAUGAACCUAUUAACCACUUGAAGUGACUUGCAUCUUCACAGGGGAUUAAAGCCAGCCAGUUUCCAGCCCAGGAACCUGCCAGGGAGAGGAUGGUCUACUGCAUCCACCAGACCUUGGCAGAGCUGUAACCAGCUUUAUUAAAAGAUUUGUUUUGAACAUAUGAUAGAGGAUACUCUCAGUUAUACCAGGAGUCUGAGUAAAGACAUCGUGUUGCAGGUUUCAGCUUGGAUAGCAUCUCUAGAACUGUUCCGUCUUUCUAGGAAAGCAGGAAUAUUGUUCUUUCUUCAGAUACCAUGAAGAAAAGUGCUAAUUUUGUUCUCUAUUUUUAGUAAGUAAUUUUUCAGUUUAAUAUAUGCUUCUGACACCUUAAAAAUAAAUUUGUUUAGUA